Molecule: ribosomal RNA, 336 nt
Filed under: uncultured bacterium
Lineage: Bacteria
Description: bacterial SSU rRNA
Rfam family: Bacterial small subunit ribosomal RNA
Source: RNAcentral
GAUGAACGCUGGCGGCGUGCUUAACACAUGCAAGUCGAACGAAGAUGCCGGAGUGCUUGCACUUUGGCAGACUGAGUGGCGGACGGGUGAGUAACGCGUGGGUAACCUGCCUUAUACAGGGGAGUAACAGUUGGAACGAACUGCUAAUAACCGCAUAAGCGCACGGUAUCGCAUGAUACAGUGUGAAAACUACCGGUGGUAUAAGAUGGACCCGCGUCUGAUUAGCUUGUUGGUGAGGUAACGGCCCACCAAGGCGACGAUCAGUAGCCGGCCUGAGAGGGUGAACGGCCACAUUUGGGACUGAGACACGGCCCAAACUCCUACGGGAGGCAGCAG